GUGUCAGCCGCCGCGGUAAAACGUAGGAGGCGAGCGUUAUCCGGAAUUACUGGGCGUAAAGCGCGCGUAGGCGGUGAUGCAAGUGGUGCGUGAAAGCUCUUGGCUCAACUGGGAGAGGUCGUACCAAACUGCAUGACUAGAGACAGCAAGAGGUCAAUGGAAUUUCGGGUGGAGCGGUGAAAUGCGUAGAGAUCCGGAGGAACACCAGAGGCGAAGGCGAUUGACUGGGGCUGUUCUGACGCUGAGGAGCGAAAGCGUGGGGAGCGAACGGGAUUAGAAACCCCGGUAGUCCACGCUGUAAACGAUGCACACUAGACGUACUGUGCGGAAGCGCAUGGUGUGUCGUAGCCAACGCGGUAAGUGUGCCGCCUGGGGAGUACGGUCGCAAGGCUAAAACUUAAAUGAAUUGACGGGG
Molecule: ribosomal RNA, 415 nt
Filed under: uncultured prokaryote
Description: bacterial SSU rRNA
Rfam family: Bacterial small subunit ribosomal RNA
Source: RNAcentral